Molecule: ribosomal RNA, 449 nt
Filed under: uncultured bacterium
Lineage: Bacteria
Description: partial 16S ribosomal RNA
Rfam family: Bacterial small subunit ribosomal RNA
Source: RNAcentral
AACGAACGCUGGCGGCAUGCCUAACACAUGCAAGUCGAACGAAGGCUUCGGCCUUAGUGGCGCACGGGUGCGUAACGCGUGGGAAUCUGCCCUUGGGUUCGGAAUAACAGUGGGAAACCGCUGCUAAUACCGGAUGAUGACGUAAGUCCAAAGAUUUAUCGCCCAAGGAUGAGCCCGCGUAGGAUUAGCUAGUUGGUGGGGUAAUGGCCCACCAAGGCGACGAUCCUUAGCUGGUCUGAGAGGAUGAUCAGCCACACUGGGACUGAGACACGGCCCAGACUCCUACGGGAGGCAGCAGUGGGGAAUAUUGGACAAUGGGCGAAAGCCUGAUCCAGCAAUGCCGCGUGAGUGAUGAAGGCCUUAGGGUUGUAAAGCUCUUUUACCAGGGAUGAUAAUGACAGUACCUGGAGAAUAAGCUCCGGCUAACUCCGUGCCAGCCGCCGCCGUAA